Molecule: transfer RNA, 103 nt
Filed under: Candidatus Uhrbacteria bacterium
Lineage: Bacteria; Candidatus Uhriibacteriota
Description: tRNA-OTHER
Rfam family: tRNA
About the family: Transfer RNA (tRNA) molecules are approximately 80 nucleotides in length. Their secondary structure includes four short double-helical elements and three loops (D, anti-codon, and T loops). Further hydrogen bonds mediate the characteristic L-shaped molecular structure. tRNAs have two regions of fundamental functional importance: the anti-codon, which is responsible for specific mRNA codon recognition, and the 3' end, to which the tRNAs corresponding amino acid is attached (by aminoacyl-tRNA synthetases). tRNAs cope with the degeneracy of the genetic code in two manners: having more than one tRNA (with a specific anti-codon) for a particular amino acid; and 'wobble' base-pairing, i.e. permitting non-standard base-pairing at the 3rd anti-codon position.
Source: RNAcentral
AGGGAUGUAGUGAAAUGGCUAUCACUAGGGUCUCCAUCCAGCCCUUCGCGAAGGGCUGGAUCCAAAACCCUCAUUCAGGGUUCGAAUCCCUGCAUCCCUGCCA